Oncorhynchus keta (chum salmon) is the source of this 962-nucleotide long non-coding RNA. RefSeq lists it as uncharacterized. The transcript is spliced from 5 exons. The record is from RefSeq and is a predicted model, not a curated record. Lineage: Eukaryota; Metazoa; Chordata; Actinopteri; Salmoniformes; Salmonidae.
GCCCUGUGGUAGAGGACAUCAGGUAGUGUCUUACCUCUGUAUAACCAGGGCCCUGUGGUAGAGGACAUCAGGUAGGGUCUUACCUCUGUAUAACCAGGGCCCUGUGGUAGAGGACAUCAGGUAGGGUCUUACCUCUGUAUAACCAGGGCCCUGUGGUAGAGGACAUCAGGUAGUGUCUUACCUCUGUAUAACCAGGGCCCUGUGGUAGAGGACAUCAGGUAGUGUCUUACCUCUGUAUAACCAGGGCCCUGUGGUAGAGGACAUCAGGUAGUGUCUUACCUCUGUAUAACCAGGGCCCUGUGGUAGAGGACAUCAGGUAGUGUCUUACCUCUGUAUAACCAGGGCCCUGUGGUAGAGGACAUCAGGUAGUGUCUUACCUCUGUAUAACCAGGGCCCUGUGGUAGAGGACAUCAGGUAGGGUCUUACCUCUGUAUAACCAGGGCCCUGUGGUAGAGGACAUCAGGUAGUGUCUUACCUCUGUAUAACCAGGGCCCUGUGGUAGAGGACAUCAGGUAGUGUCUUACCUCUGUAUAACCAGGGCCCUGUGGUAGAGGACAUCAGGUAGUGUCUUACCUCUGUAUAACCAGGGCCCUGUGGUAGAGGACAUCAGGUAGUGUCUUACCUCUGUAUAACCAGGGCCCUGUGGUAGAGGACAUCAGGUAGUGUCUUACCUCUGUAUAACCAGGGCCCUGUGGUAGAGGACAUCAGGUAGGGUCUUACCUCUGUAUAACCAGGGCCCUGUGGUAGAGGACAUCAGGUAGUGUCUUACCUCUGUAUAACCAGGGCCCUGUGGUAGAGGACAUCAGGUAGUGUCUUACCUCUGUAUAACCAGGGCCCUGUGGUAGAGGACAUCAGGUAGGGUCUUACCUCUGUAUAACCAGGGCCCUGUGGUAGAGGACAUCAGGUAGUGUCUUACCUCUGUAUAACCAGGGCCCUGUGGUAGAGGACAUCAGGUAGGGUCU